AACUCAGGAGAAUGUUAGAGCGCACGCCUGAUAAGCGUGAGGUCGGUGGUUCGAUUCCACUCGUGCCCA
This 69-nucleotide transfer RNA is filed under the name Streptococcus thermophilus. Its description in RNAcentral is "tRNA-Ile". It matches the Rfam family "tRNA", at positions 9 to 71 of the family's 71-position model. From Rfam's summary of the family: Transfer RNA (tRNA) molecules are approximately 80 nucleotides in length. The record is from RNAcentral. Lineage: Bacteria; Bacillati; Bacillota; Bacilli; Lactobacillales; Streptococcaceae.